RNAcentral lists this ribosomal RNA (825 nucleotides) under Volutella lini. RNAcentral's name for it is "partial large subunit ribosomal RNA". It matches the Rfam family "Eukaryotic large subunit ribosomal RNA", at positions 70 to 928 of the family's 3401-position model. The record is from RNAcentral. Lineage: Eukaryota; Fungi; Ascomycota; Sordariomycetes; Hypocreales; Nectriaceae.
AGGGAUUGCCCUAGUAACGGCGAGUGAAGCGGCAACAGCUCAAAUUUGAAAUCUGGCCCUCGGGUCCGAGUUGUAAUUUGUAGAGGAUGUUUUUGGUGAGGUACCUUCCGAGUUCCCUGGAACGGGACGCCAUAGAGGGUGAGAGCCCCGUCUGGUUGGAUGCCGAUCCUCUGUAAAACUCCUUCGACGAGUCGAGUAGUUUGGGAAUGCUGCUCUAAAUGGGAGGUAUAUGUCUUCUAAAGCUAAAUAUUGGCCAGAGACCGAUAGCGCACAAGUAGAGUGAUCGAAAGAUGAAAAGCACUUUGAAAAGAGAGUUAAAAAGCACGUGAAAUUGUUGAAAGGGAAGCGCUUAUGACCAGACUUGGACUUGGUUGAUCAUCCGGUGUUCUCACCGGUGCACUCUUCCGGUUCAGGCCAGCAUCAGUUUGCUUCGGGGGAUAAAGGCUUUGGGAAUGUGGCUCCCUCGGGAGUGUUAUAGCCCAUUGUGUAAUACCCUGGAGCGGACUGAGGUACGCGUUCUGCAAGGAUGCUGGCGUAAUGGUCAUCAGUGACCCGUCUUGAAACACGGACCAAGGAGUCGUCUUCGUAUGCGAGUGUUCGGGUGUUAAACCCCUACGCGUAAUGAAAGUGAACGCAGGUGAGAGCUUCGGCGCAUCAUCGACCGAUCCUGAUGUUCUCGGAUGGAUUUGAGUAAGAGCAUACGGGGCCGGACCCGAAAGAAGGUGAACUAUGCCUGUGUAGGGUGAAGCCAGAGGAAACUCUGGUGGAGGCUCGCAGCGGUUCUGACGUGCAAAUCGAUCGUCAAACAUGGGCAUGGGGGCGAAA